Molecule: ribosomal RNA, 695 nt
Filed under: uncultured Bacilli bacterium
Lineage: Bacteria; Bacillati; Bacillota; Bacilli
Description: bacterial SSU rRNA
Rfam family: Bacterial small subunit ribosomal RNA
Source: RNAcentral
UCGAACGCUUCUUUCCUCCCGAGUGCUUGCACUCAAUUGGAAAGAGGAGUGGCGGACGGGUGAGUAACACGUGGGUAACCUACCCAUCAGAGGGGGAUAACACUUGGAAACAGGUGCUAAUACCGCAUAACAGUUUAUGCCGCAUGGCAUAAGAGUGAAAGGCGCUUUCGGGUGUCGUUGAUGGAUGGACCCGCGGUGCAUUAGCUAGUUGGUGAGGUAACGGCUCACCAAGGCCACGAUGCAUAGCCGACCUGAGAGGGUGAUCGGCCACACUGGGACUGAGACACGGCCCAGACUCCUACGGGAGGCAGCAGUAGGGAAUCUUCGGCAAUGGACGAAAGUCUGACCGAGCAACGCCGCGUGAGUGAAGAAGGUUUUCGGAUCGUAAAACUCUGUUGUUAGAGAAGAACAAGGACGUUAGUAACUGAACGUCCCCUGACGGUAUCUAACCAGAAAGCCACGGCUAACUACGUGCCAGCAGCCGCGGUAAUACGUAGGUGGCAAGCGUUGUCCGGAUUUAUUGGGCGUAAAGCGAGCGCAGGCGGUUUCUUAAGUCUGAUGUGAAAGCCCCCGGCUCAACCGGGGAGGGUCAUUGGAAACUGGGAGACUUGAGUGCAGAAGAGGAGAGUGGAAUUCCAUGUGUAGCGGUGAAAUGCGUAGAUAUAUGGAGGAACACCAGUGGCGAAGGCGGCUCU